UACGUAGGGGGCAAGCGUUGUCCGGAUUUAUUGGGCGUAAAGAGCUCGUAGGCGGCCUGUUACGUCUGCUGUGAAAUCCCGGGGCUUAACCCCGGGCGUGCAGUGGAUACGGGCAGGCUGGAGGCAGGCAGGGGAGAACGGAAUUCCCGGUGUAGCGGUGAAAUGCGUAGAGACCCGGAGGAACACCAGUGGCGAAGGCGGCUUCCUGGUCUGCGACUGACGCUGUGGCGCGAAAGCUAGGGGAGCAAACGGG
Molecule: ribosomal RNA, 253 nt
Filed under: uncultured bacterium
Lineage: Bacteria
Description: partial 16S ribosomal RNA
Rfam family: Bacterial small subunit ribosomal RNA
Source: RNAcentral